UUGACCUCGGAUCAGGUAGGGAUACCCGCUGAACUUAAGCAUAUCAAUAAGCGGAGGAAAAGAAACCAACCGGGAUUGCCUCAGUAACGGCGAGUGAAGCGGCAAGAGCUCAAAUUUGAAAGCUGGCUCCUUCGGAGUCCGCAUUGUAAUUUGCAGAGGAUGCUUUGGGUGCGGCCCCCGUCUAAGUGCCCUGGAACGGGCCGUCAGAGAGGGUGAGAAUCCCGUCUUGGGCGGGGUGUCCGUGCCCGUGUAAAGCUCCUUCGACGAGUCGAGUUGUUUGGGAAUGCAGCUCUAAAUGGGUGGUAAAUUUCAUCUAAAGCUAAAUACUGGCCGGAGACCGAUAGCGCACAAGUAGAGUGAUCGAAAGAUGAAAAGCACUUUGAAAAGAGAGUUAAACAGCACGUGAAAUUGUUGAAAGGGAAGCGCUUGCGACCAGACUCGCCCGCGGGGUUCAGCCGGCAUUCGUGCCGGUGUACUUCCCCGUGGGCGGGCCAGCGUCGGUUUGGGCGGCCGGUCAAAGGCCCCUGGAAUGUAGUACCCUCCGGGGUACCUUAUAGCCAGGGGUGCAAUGCGGCCAGCCUGGACCGAGGAACGCGCUUCGGCACGGACGCUGGCAUAAUGGUCGUAAA
This 629-nucleotide ribosomal RNA is filed under the name Aspergillus luchuensis. RNAcentral's name for it is "partial 28S ribosomal RNA". It matches the Rfam family "Eukaryotic large subunit ribosomal RNA", at positions 1 to 644 of the family's 3401-position model. The record is from RNAcentral. Lineage: Eukaryota; Fungi; Ascomycota; Eurotiomycetes; Eurotiales; Aspergillaceae. RNAcentral also lists the same sequence under 1 other name.